RNAcentral lists this ribosomal RNA (1849 nucleotides) under uncultured fungus. Its description in RNAcentral is "bacterial SSU rRNA". The stretch from base 938 to 1849 matches the Rfam family "Eukaryotic large subunit ribosomal RNA", at positions 1 to 941 of the family's 3401-position model. Lineage: Eukaryota; Fungi. The record is from RNAcentral.
GUCUGUGAUGCCCUUAGAUGUUCUGGGCCGCACGCGCGCUACACUGACAGGGCCAACGAGUACAAUCCUUGGCCGAAAGGUCUGGGUAAUCUUGUUAAACCCUGUCGUGCUGGGGAUAGGGCAUUGCAAUUAUUGCCCUUCAACGAGGAAUUCCUAGUAAGCGCAAGUCAUCAGCUUGCGUUGAUUACGUCCCUGCCCUUUGUACACACCGCCCGUCGCUACUACCGAUUGAAUGGCUCAGUGAGGCCUUCGGACUGGCGCCAGGAGGUCGGCAACGACCACCAGGAGCCGGGAAGUUGGUCAAACUUGGUCAUUUAGAGGAAGUAAAAGUCGUAACAAGGUUUCCGUAGGUGAACCUGCGGAAGGAUCAUUAGCAAGUGGCCUCGUGCGAGGUCAGAAAGCUUCACGCCAACCGGCCAACCCAGCGCGGCAAGCCUGCCCCCCGGUGUUUCUCCUAUACCGGUGGGUUUCACCGCGCUGGCCCGGCCAUGGCUUGGGAGCGAACCCACUGUGGACCACCUUGUUGCUUCGGCAGCUCCACGCAGGCACCUGCCAGCGCUGGGUCAGUCUGCCGGAAGCCCCAACCGGAAUCGUAUUGCAACCUGCUGUCUGAUCAUUUUCUCCAAUGUCAUUAAAACUUUCAACAAUGGAUCUCUUGGUUCCCGCAUCGAUGAAGAACGCAGCGAAACGCGAUAGGUAAUGUGAAUUGCAGAAUUCAGUGAAUCAUCGAAUCUUUGAACGCACAUUGCGCCUUGUGGUAUUCCGCAGGGCAUGUCUGUCUGAGCAUCAGCACAACCUCAGAGCCAGGCUCUGGUGAUGGCGAGCCCCUGCGGCUCCCCGAAGAUCGAUAGGGAAAGGACCCUGCGGCGUGAAGCAAAGAACAUGAUCAGUGCCUCUAGCUCCACCCGCAGGCGGAGCCCGCAUCCACCCGAACCUUUGACCUCAGAUCAGACAAGGACACCCGCUGAACUUAAGCAUAUCAAUAAGCGGAGGAAAAGAAACCAACGGGGAUUGCCCUAGUAGCGGCGAGUGAAGCGGCAAGAGCUCAGAUUUGAAAUCGGAUGCCUCAUCCGAGUUGUAAUCUGGAGAGGAUGCUUCGGUUGGGACACUGGGCAAAGUGCCUUGGAACAGGACGUCGUGGAGGGUGAGAACCCCGUUCUUGCCUGGUGACCCCUGCCGUGUGAAGCUCCCUCGGAGAGUCGAGUUGUUUGGGAAUGCAGCUCAAAAUGGGUGGUAAAUUCCAUCUAAAGCUAAAUAUUGGCGGGAGACCGAUAGCGCACAAGUAGAGUGAUCGAAAGAUGAAAAGCACUUUGAAAAGAGAGUUAAACAGUACGUGAAAUUGUUGAAAGGGAAGCGCUUGCCAUCAGAAGGGCGGCCGGCCGAUCAGCUCCCGUAUCGGGGGUGCACUGGGCCGGCCUGCCAGCCAGCAUCGGUUGCGGCGGUGGGAGAAAGGUUCCAGGAAUGUGGCUCCUCCGGGAGUGUUAAGCCUGGGGCGCAAUGCCGCCUGCCGCGACCGAGGACGGCGCCUCUGGCGAGGAUGCUGGCCUAAUGGUUGUAAGCGACCCGUCUUGAAACACGGACCAAGGAGUCUAACAUCCACGCGAGUGUUCGGGUGCCAAACCCGCACGCGCAGUGAAAGCGAACGGAAGUGAGAGCUCUUGCGCAUCAUUGACCGAUCCUGAUGUCUUCGGACGGAUUUGAGUAGGAGCGUGGCUGUUGGGACCCGAAAGAUGGUGAACUAUGCCUGAAUAGGGUGAAGCCAGAGGAAACUCUGGUGGAGGCUCGCAGCGGUUCUGACGUGCAAAUCGAUCGUCAAAUUUGGGUAUAGGGGCGAAAGACUAAUCGAACC